This 336-nucleotide unclassified non-coding RNA is filed under the name soil metagenome. Its description in RNAcentral is "partial contains 5.8S ribosomal RNA, internal transcribed spacer 2, and large subunit ribosomal RNA". The stretch from base 2 to 120 matches the Rfam family "5.8S ribosomal RNA", at positions 36 to 154 of the family's 154-position model. The record is from RNAcentral.
UAUGAAGAACGUAGUGAAAUGCGAUAAGUAAUGUGAAUUGCAGAAUUCAGUGAAUCAUCGCAUCUUUGAACGCACAUUGCGCCCGCCAGUAUUCUGGCGGGCAUGCCUGUUCGAGCGUCAUUUCAACCAUCAAGCCCCCGGCUUGUGUUGGGGACCUGCGGCUGCCGCAGGCCCUGAAAAGCAGUGGCGGGCUCGCUGUCACACCGAGCGUAGUAGCAUACAUCUCGCUCUGGGCGUGCUGCGGGUUCCGGCCGUUAAACCACCUUCAUAACCCAAGGUUGACCUCGGAUCAGGUAGGAAGACCCGCUGAACUUAAGCAUAUCAAUAAGCGGAGGA